This 200-nucleotide ribosomal RNA is filed under the name Salmonella enterica. Its description in RNAcentral is "partial 16S ribosomal RNA". It matches the Rfam family "Bacterial small subunit ribosomal RNA", at positions 1 to 208 of the family's 1533-position model. The record is from RNAcentral. Lineage: Bacteria; Pseudomonadati; Pseudomonadota; Gammaproteobacteria; Enterobacterales; Enterobacteriaceae. RNAcentral also lists the same sequence under 1 other name.
AAAUUGAAGAGUUUGAUCAUGGCUCAGAUUGAACGCUGGCGGCAGGCCUAACACAUGCAAGUCGAACGGUAACAGGAAGCAGCUUGCUGCUUUGCUGACGAGUGGCGGACGGGUGAGUAAUGUCUGGGAAACUGCCUGAUGGAGGGGGAUAACUACUGGAAACGGUGGCUAAUACCGCAUAAUGUCGCAAGACCAAAGAG